This 508-nucleotide ribosomal RNA is filed under the name uncultured bacterium. RNAcentral's name for it is "partial 16S ribosomal RNA". It matches the Rfam family "Bacterial small subunit ribosomal RNA", at positions 28 to 523 of the family's 1533-position model. The record is from RNAcentral.
GAUGAACGCUAGCUACAGGCUUAACACAUGCAAGUCGAGGGGAAACGAUAGAGAAGGCUUGCUUUCUCUAGGCGUCGACCGGCGCACGGGUGAGUAACGCGUAUCCAACCUGCCCACCACUUGGGGAUAACCUUGCGAAAGUAAGACUAAUACCCAAUGAUAUCCCUAGAAGACAUCUGAAGGAGAUUAAAGAUUCAUCGGUGAUGGAUGGGGAUGCGUCUGAUUAGCUUGUUGGCGGGGUAACGGCCCACCAAGGCGACGAUCAGUAGGGGUUCUGAGAGGAAGGUCCCCCACAUUGGAACUGAGACACGGUCCAAACUCCUACGGGAGGCAGCAGUGAGGAAUAUUGGUCAAUGGGCGAGAGCCUGAACCAGCCAAGUAGCGUGCAGGAUGACGGCCCUAUGGGUUGUAAACUGCUUUUAUAAGGGAAUAAAGUGAGUCUCGUGAGACUUUUUGCAUGUACCUUAUGAAUAAGGACCGGCUAAUUCCGUGCCAGCAGCCGCAGUAA